UACGGGGGGUGCAAGCGUUAUUCGGAAUCAUUGGGCGUAAAGGGCGCGUAGGCGGUCUUUUAAGUCAGAUGUGAAAGCCCUCGGCUUAACCGAGGAAGUGCAUUUGAUACUAAAAGACUUGAGUAUGGGAGAGGGAAGCGGAAUUCCUGGUGUAGCGGUGAAAUGCGUAGAUAUCAGGAGGAACACCGGUGGCGAAGGCGGCUUCCUGGACCAAUACUGACGCUGAGGCGCGAAGGCGUGGGGAGCAAACAGG
Molecule: ribosomal RNA, 253 nt
Filed under: uncultured bacterium
Lineage: Bacteria
Description: partial 16S ribosomal RNA
Rfam family: Bacterial small subunit ribosomal RNA
Source: RNAcentral